UUGGAACUGCUCCCCUAAGAAUAAAUUAUAUAUGUGUUGAAGUUACUGCUUUUGUUUCUUGCAUGUCUUUAUAAUCCUUCAUUCUGGUCCAAGGAGCAUUGAAUUAAAUUGUACAAAGGGAAGAGAUCCAGUAGGAGAUGUGGAGAGCGACUGUAGAGGCUGAUGGGGAAACAUUCACACAGUUUAGUGACAAAGCAGAGACUUAGCAGAGAGAGCAGGAACAGUGUUUCUGUACAGGAUUACUCCUGUAGUAAAGAACAGGCAUUAGUCAAGUAUCCUUAUUUAUCCAUGCAACACUAUAGGAACAGUCAAAAUGUCAUCACCUAAGUGUGAUUAAAACAGGAGCAAAGGAUGUGAUUUCCAAUAAUAGCUUAAAAAAAUCUGUUUAUAGUAAUUAUUUGAUUUUUUUGGAGAAUGUCUUCUAGUCAUUAUUACUGUGACACUGACUCCAACACACUUGGGGGCCAAUAUUCUGUAAAUUGGGAACUGUAGAAUAUGUUACUAUGCAGCAGUUCCCUUUUCAGGUAGUACUAAGCUUUACCCUGGCUGUUGCAUGGACACUCGAUGGUGAAUGCAGGGCAUUCCAAGUAAAUUAGAAGCAGUACGUUUAGUUUCCUCUGUGCUAUCUUGUGAUUUCCCUGACAGCACCCUUGCUGAUAGUUGCACUGACCUGUGGCUCAUGCAGUGAUUGCAUAAAAUUGUAUAUUAGUUGCCAUAGUAUGUGUUUCCUUCCCCAGCUGAGAUUCUUUCUCCACCUUUUCACUCACAGUGGUGUAUAACAGCUGAAAUCAGAUCACACUGGAAGCCUCAGCUCCUUUUGAGCAAGUCUAUUGCUGUAUAUUGUCAUUUUGUAAUUGUGUCAGGAAUCAAUGGAGGCUUUUUUUUUUUUUACAGAACAAGAACAGGCUGAAAUCUCAAGUUAGACUCAAUUUACUUGAAAUAGUUCUUUGUAUUUCAGAUUAAAUCUUGAUUGUUGUAGCACUCAUGUUACUAUUAAUAGCUGAAAAUAAAGUUUGAUUUUUGUCAGUUGUGUUGAAAAGACCUUAAAUACUCUCUAGUUUUGGCAAGCUUUGAUCAGUGUUUUCCCUACAAAUGAGCCAGAGACUCACUCCUGGGCAAACCUCCUUGUUUUCCUUAUUUCUGUUUUAGCAUAGCUCUUUUGAAAACAAAUUUCCAUUUGAUAAACCAAGCUGCUUAGAGCUUAUCCUCUUCUUUCUUAGGAAGUUGCCAAUUUGCAUCUUAUUUGACAGUCCUUCUUUAAAAUUGGCUCUGCUUUUCUGGAAGAAGAUAGCAGAUUUUCCACAGGAGUUUGUUUUUUAAUCCCUUCCCUGUUUUUCCAGCAAGCAUAUUUCAGCAGCUUUAAUUUGUCAGUAACCCACUUCUGAGUCAGCUCUGCUUUAUGUGCUUAAGUUUUCUUUUCUUUUGCUCUAGCAUGAAGAUGUAGGCUCUCUCUCCUUUUAAUUAUAAUAAGGUAGAUAAUUCUCAAUCUGCCAAGUCUUUUGCUUUUCACUAUCGAAAGAAUUUCUGAAAGGGGGUUGAUUUAAAUAUAGCUUUUUGUUGCAAUUUAAUUGUGACUUUUCAUACAAUAAUUAUUAAAAAAGUUCAUCAUCUUCAAUUACAUUCUGCCUCCUGCCACAUAAGGGCCCUCUUGGAGGCUGUUUUCACCACUGUAUCUCCAUGGAGGUGGCAGGUGGGAGUGAGUUUAUUCCACUUACAUGCUGUGAGUCAGCUCCAUCUGAGAGCCCAACAUUUAUUUUAACACACCACUCAGCUAAUAGGCCUUGCUGGCUGCAGGAUACAUUAAUUUAGGCCCAACAUUUUGCUAACAUCACUAAGUAGCUUCUGGACUGUGUCAUGUCAGUGCCCAGAUGAAGACAACCUCCAUGCAGGUGGAGUGAGUGCAACUGCUUGCACCUGUGUUUGGAAACACACACUGAUUUUUUCAGCGAUAGUGUUGGUAGACCACAAACUUUGCCUUUCCAGCCUUUCCCAGAAUGAUCUCAGCAAUUUCUAGGUUGUUCUGUUAGAGACCAAAUCUUUGAAACUGAGCUAAUCCUGUCUGGCUUGAUAAACAAAGUUUACUCAGACCAGGAUAAAUUUAAAAUCGGAAUUUCAUCAAACUUUAUAUCAAAACUCAAACACUAGACUUACUGCUUUGGAUUCCCCUUCAGAGUAUGAGAAACAAUGUGAAUGUAGCAGACUGCACCCUCACACCUGUCUCCUUUGAAACUUCUUUUGUCUUUACAGAAGACCAAGCUGCAUAUGAGCUUGAGUGUUCUGUUUUUUUAAAUUCUAGAAGUAUUUUUAGCCAGCCCGUAACAGUCUCUUACACUUGAUUGGUAUUGGUGCAGUUGCCAAGUUUGAAUUAAAAGCUAUAGUUUCUGGUCUCUUUUCCUCAAGAAUCAAAAGAAUGUUUUACAUUUUAGCAGCAUAACCACCAUUUUACAACUCAUUCAGUGUUUGUUUUUUUUUUCCAGACUUUGGAAAUCUGGCCCUUACUGGCUUUAGCUGGACUACUGACUCGGUGGAAAUAUUCCCAUUAAUUUUAAAUAGAAUCAAUCCCAAUGUAUUCUGAAUUAACAAGUAGCAAAUUGGGAGAAUGGGACAAAACCAUUUUACCAUCUUCUUGUCAGUAAAAACAUAUUAACACUUGAUAAAGUUGGUAUAAAGUUUUCAGUUGGUAAUAAUAGAGUUAUUCAGGUAGAGAUGGAUGAAUAUCAUAUCCGAGAAAUGAAUAUGAGAUUGCUAUUAGGAUCAACCUUAAGAUUUGCCAUUUGUUAAGAACCUUGGGGCAAAUGUUUUGAAUAUGUCAGCUGGGCUGUAAAAACACUACUCCAAUCUAUUUUCUAAAACACCUGGAAGGAGAGGCAAUGAAAAUUUCAUACUCUCAACAUAGCAGGAGUUUAGCUCAAGUUCCUGUCAACCCUGUUCAGUAAGCGUGACUGCAGGUUCAUGGUACCAGGCUGGAAGAAAUCCACUGGGUGAUGUUUACAUGCUAAAAAAAUCUCAGUUCUGUACACUGAUUAUGAUACUUACAGUUACCAAUAAACAUGGGAUAACGCUACAGCAGGCUUGUGAUAUAUAGCUAUAUUAAAAUAUUAUUUACCUUUCAAAACCACACGAUGAAUCCAAAAGUUGAGGCAUCAAUGUUUUUGUGGCAUCCUGAGCUCUAAAAUUAGCCCUCCCUGUAUACAGAACUUGCAGUGGAGGUUAUGCUGUGGUUUGCUCAGCACCCACUGGGCUCCUUGAGAGAGGGUGCAGACUGUCUUGUGGUGAAGGAGAGUAUUCCCACAGGUACUAGAAAUGUUUUAAGCUAUGUAUGCUGACUCCACACCUAUGCCGCAGAUGUUACAGUUUUCUUGCACACCCCUGAACGGUCAUGAUUUAGCUGCCUGAUGGAAGGAAAGGUGGUUUUUCAACUGUGUUAGUGACAGAAGGCUGGAAGGGUGUUAAUGCAGAGGUCUUUCAUUAUACCUUUGUGAUCCCUUUCAACCGAUUUUUCUUAUUGUUCAGUUUUCCUCAUGUAAGUCAGAAAUAUCUUUAUAGUUGAUUCCAGGCUAAAUUAAUCCAUGUCUAUAAAUUGCUUUGAGAUCUUUUGAUAGGAAGCAUCCUGGAGCUACAAUGCCCUUUUCUUGAUAAUUUUUUUUUAUGGUCAGUUUUCAGGAGCAGGAUAAAACAUUGCUUUUACAACAUUUUUCUCUACAGUGCUAACGAGAGUAGCUAAGGAGAAAGACCUCCAUAUUUAAUCACUGUUUCAGGAUUGCUCUGUUUUUAAAAGGAGCUUAACAGCUGAAACUCAUGAUUCUUUACAAGUGUCUUAGAGCAAUUCAGGUUCUGUGAGUGACAUUUCUCUAAGGCAGGCUUUUCAGUGGGAGGCUGCAGAUUUCACAAAGUCUUUUGUUGUUCCAGUGUCAAGGUCAGGCAGCCUUCGUAGCUGACAUGUAAAGAAAUUCUAGCAUAUACAAAAUCAACAUAAUAGUUGUCUUUGAUGCCUUCAGGCAGUAGUAGUAGUUGGGUAUAAUUUUACAUAGCUGACAAUCAUUCCAUUGUGAAGUCCAGGAAAAAAGCCUUUCAUCAGUGCUGCUUCCUUCUUACAAUUAUUGUUUUAGUUUAGUGUUAUUGUAGAUCGACCUUCUAUUUUAUUCCAUAUAAUUAUUCUGUCACCUAUUGAUAUCGGAAAGCAAUCUGUAUUAGUACUGAAUGGUAGCUUCUACUUUGUCGUGUCUGCUCAGGGAGAGCAAAUAGUUUUGAACUGUCACUGUAUAUUCAUGAUUGCAUCUUUUUUUUCUGAACCAUAACCAAUCAGGGAAAAAAAUGCCUUCCUAGUUGCUGCCGGUGUUAAUCCAUUCAUUAGCUGGCAAAGUUGAUGAAUGAGUAAUCUCUCUAGAAGCUGAGCAUGCUACCUCUCCAGUGCAGAGAGGGUGACCUGAUUAUAACCGGUGUGAUGUGAGUGACGGUUCAGCUUGCUGCUGUUGUUCUGGAGUUGGAUCAAUGCUAAUAAAGGGUGGAAUGAAGAAGGGUUAUAGAAGCAAUAAUGAUCUCACCAAGGGCUUUCAGGCAGUGAAGAAGAGCACAGUUUUACUUUCAGCACUUCUCACAUAUUAAACUAUUAGCCAAGUCACUUUUUCUUUAAACUGAGAAUAAACAGUCUCUGUAAGUGCACUAUGUACCUUGUCAGAUUUACAGUCUUAGCCUUAGUCGCCUAAAGACCAACUCUUAAACAACUAAUCCAGCAGUAAUCCUCUGAAGCGCUAGCUUUGUAAUGUCUCAGUGGGACACAUCUUAGGUACAAUUAAUACCCUAAAGUCAAGGCUAUGUUUUACAAGAUAGGAGCACUUGUGACGAGUACAUAUGUGACUUGAUAUCUGGAAUCCCUAGGGGAUUAUAUGUUUGUGCCCUGAAAUGUGGUUAGGUUUAUAAUAAAUUGUUGUCAGGUUCAGGAAGCCCUAUAUGUACACUGAUUUGAAUGCAGUUAUUUGCACAACACAUUCAGCAGAGAAAAAUAAGGGCUGCUGUUACAGAUCUGCUCCACGAAUAACAGGCUGGAUGUAGAUAGGUAACAUUUGAGGGGUUUUCUGUCCUAUUCAAAUUUGAUAACAGCUCUUUCAAGGCUGUUAUUUCUCCUUGUUGUCAAAAUAUUUUUACUAAUGUGGUUACAAUGAGCUGCUGAGAUAAUACUUUUAGUAGAAAGAGUAUGGUGUUACCAUAGUUGGUCUUAAUUGUCUGCAUUAGGUAAUUUCCAGCAUGAAACAAGAAAAACGUCAAUUGGGACAGACCCUAGUAAAACCAGAUACCUGCAAUUUCAGUAAUUGCUCCAAUUUGUAGAGGUUUAUAAGGAUGCAUUUGUUGUGUGACAUUCACAUCUAUUUCAUGUUUGCAGUUAACAAAUAAAUAUAAUGCAAUAUAGUAUCCUAUUAUAAGCAACCUAAUGGAUUUAAAUAAAAAGGCAAAAUAGUUUCCAGUGUGAUUACAUUGAGUGCCAUGGUAUCAUACUGGAAAUGCUCUGUAGAAUUUGAAGAACACAGAAGGAAAUAUGCCAAAAGCACAAUAGUUAUGCAAUGAAUUCUUUAAAAUCAUCUACAUUGUUGGUACUGAGAAGAAAAAAAAUACAUAUAUAAUCCCUCUGGCUCUGUGAGACCCAGAAAUAACAGUUAUUUAAGUUUUCUUUAAAGCCAUUUUCACAAAAACUGGGAAUUAAGGCACUGGUUUCUUGAACUAUCAGUAUCACCAAUGCUUUUUUCCCCACUUCUUUCUUCAUUGGAGAUGCGAGAGUAACAACUUUGUGUGAGUGACAAUACAUAGGGCUCUGUCUGUUCUAUAUAUUCCAGAGAAACAUAAAACACAUGAGAUUGUAUUUUCAAAGGUAGGGGGACAUGGCAUUUCCAUAUAUAAAGGAACGUAUUGAAGAAAUCCCUAAUUGAGACAAAGGUGCAAUGAAAAAUAGUUUGCGUUCAUGUAAUUAUUGACCAUUAAUUAAUGACCAAGUACUGACACAAGACUGAGUUUAGAUUGCCUUGGCAAGCUUUAUACUUGUGUCUUAGCUCCUCAUAGCUGUGUUUUCUACUUGUCUCUGUGAUCAAAAUACGAGUUCUGGGAACUCCCUGAAAUUCUGAUGUGUGGAACCAAAUGACACAUCAGUGUGAUUGAACUGGAUCCAGCAGCUUCAUGGACUAGCAGUAUAAGGGCUCAUUUUGAGUCGGGCGCUCUCAAGUAUAUUAGGCACAUGCUUUCCCUGGGAUUGCACAAGUAUUUACUAAGAAUGAUGAAAACUUGCUAAUUUUCUAAUCUUUGUCCAGUUCUUUAAAACUGAUCCUGCCUGACUGUGUCCUCUCUGUGCUGUCGGGCAGAUUCCCCUUCUGCUUCUUUCCUCUCUACUUCUGUCUGCAUUUCUGCCCCCUCUGCUCCCUACAGGUGCUGCCAGCGAGAACACUGACAAUACAAAUCUCAUGCCUAGCAAGUCAUUCCUGUGGACAGUAGACCUAUGCUUUUCAGGCAUACUGAGUACAAAGUCUCAUUCAGACUUUCAGGUUCCAGCAUGAGCAUCUCUGCUAGCAUGGGAGAUCUUAAAAGAAACCAGAGAGUGUAGAUUUCUGACAUAAUAAUUUGAGGGGCAUCCAGUUAUCAGCAAACUAUUUUCCCUGUAUUUCUUAACUCCAGCCCCAGUAUAACUAAGACUUUCUGCAGUGUACCUUUUCUCUAUUUCCUCUGACAAGUAAUUUAUUACAGGUUUAAAAGGAAUGAAAAUAACAUUAAUUAAUUAGCAUACUAAGCCUUAAACCAAAACUUUAAAUCUCUUUUAGUAUGUUCAGGUUGUCUCUGUUUUAUAGCUCAACAGAAUUUGGAAGCAUGGGUUAAAAUAAUACAAAACACAUAAAAAUUAGUUAUAAAAAGAAUUAACAGUUUAAUUUAAUUGGUUUCACAUUUGCAUUGAGAAAGGCAAUAGAGCAAAAUUGCCACCUGUAAUUACUAAAAUGUAAUUUUGUUUAUUCGUUAUUUUCAGCUCAUUCUACCUGUCAGAAAGGAGAAAAAUGGAAAAAGCUAAGCAGCAUUUUAAAAAUCAAUGUUUAUUUAAACAACAUUAUGAAUGCCGAAAUGCCUUCAGGAUAUAUGGACUUUAUGAGACACUGUAGCAUUUAGUAUUAGUAUUGAAUUUAUAGGCCAUAGAAGAAGGAGAAUAGUGAUUAAUUGUUAAGAAUGAAAAAUACCUUUGUGUCACAUUUCCUGCCUUUUUUGUGUACCCUUUCCUCCACCAUCUCCUACCUUAAAAAAUUCAGUAACAGGCCUUGUUGGCAAAAAUUAUGAUAAACCAGAUGAAAAAGAUUCAGCAAUUUACUGCAGUCAUCUUAAAAGUCAGAUAUCCUUGAUUUAUUGAAUUUUCAAACCUUCUAAUGCAGUGCUAUUUGGUCAUCAUCCAGGCUUCAGCUUUCCAUGCUUACAGUCAUAUGACCUGAAAAGCUUAAAUUAGAGUAUUCUCUACCAGAAGAAAAAACAAGUAAAAUCUUGGGAACCUGAACUUUGCCACCAUCUUCUGCUCCAAUCUGGAUUUAAUUGUAAUUCAAAGAAGUUUUGAUGGCAAAUACUAACAGGUGUUUAUUACUAAACAACAGGCACUUAAGUGUUGGACAUCAUCACUUUUUCGUCCCAAAGUAAGAAAUAGUUGCCAAGACUGAAUUAGUGAUGUUAUCAUGCUUCAGCAGAGCAAGAGGAACUUCUUUUGAAUUUCCUUCCUGAAACUGUUUACCUCUCACACAAAUAGAGCAUUGGGUACGCUUUAACUUUUGUAAGUACUAUAAUAAUUCAUUAACCAUAAUCGAGUCAGUCAUCAAGCAAUAUAACCUAAACACACUUCUCAUGAGGCUGCGAUAUUCUGAAGGAGAAAAUAUAUUGUGCUAUUUAGAACAUUCUGCCUUCCUGAAACAUCAGACAUGUUAAUUUCAAAACCAGUGAAAUGAUGUCUCUGCUUUUCUCCCAUCUGUUCCACCCAAUAGAUUUUUGAGUGCUGAAUACCGUGAAGCCUGGGUAAAGCUCCAGCUUCUGAAAUUCUCUGUGAAGAAUGAGGCUGCUGUCUGAGGUUGGAGUAGAUCACAAGGCUGCCAGACUUUUCAGUGAUGGUAUUAAUUUAAGCUACUCAAUGACUUCCCAAAGCCAUGAGAGAUGAGAUAGCUGUGCUGUGGUUUUAGGACUUUAUUUGAGAGGACUUCUGCUGGAGGUCUUAGUGACUAUGCUUACUGCUUCACCUGUACCUCUGCAAAAGUGAUUUGGAAAGUGGAGACAUCUGUGGCUGGUGAUCUGAGAGGUGAGGACAGACUCUAAACUCUCUCCAUGUUUCCUAAUGCAUAAUGAAUCUCAUCCAGGAGAAGUCUAGCUUGAACAUUUGACAGUCAACUGAAUACUCAUGAUGUGUGGAAUCUGGUAAUCUUCUGGAAUUCCUUGGAAAAAUAAAAUUGAGAGUGAGUUGUGGUUUGAAAUGUGGCCAGAAAUGAACAACUUCUUCCUUGUGCUCCUGAGUGCAUCUGUCAUUUUUGGGAUCUCAAGAAUGUGCAGAAAGGUAUACGGUGCAUCUCAGAUAUCCAAGGUUGUCUUCCUGGCUAUGGAGAGAGCCGGUGAGAAUUUCCCCUGUACUAUGCUAUAGAGGAAUGAGGAGGAAGCGUAGCUGGCAGUGAAGGAUUGAUUUCAUUCUAGAGGAGAACAUCAUGGGCUGCCUGGGCUGAGAGAACAGAGCUGCCUCACAGCAUGGCUUGAACCACCACUUGGUGACUAGAAGAGGAAAUUACUUGUGUUGUGUGGGCAGGAGAACUGACCUGCUGGCUGAUUGUUUUGAUGGGUACUAUAAUGCAGUAGCCCCUUAGUUUUGUCAAGGCUUAUCUAGAUCAGGCUCUGCAUCCUAUAGCUGGCCAAGUACCUUUAGAGUUACUUGUAUUAAAAUAAUAUAGCUUUUUUUUCAGCUGUUAGUUGUGCUUUUGUAAAAAAUCCCUUGUAACCAUCUCCCUGUGGUAUAAAUUAAUCCUUUUGAAUACUGAGCAGCAGUUAUGACACUUUGCCUCUUACUGUGACACAGGUUGCUUUCACACACAAAUUAAGCAAGUUACACAGAGCGAUGAAUGGCAUGUUUUAAUGUGAGUCUCCUGCUAUAUUGUCAGCCAACAGUGCAAAAUAGUAAUUUACCAACUUCAAUGAGAUUCUCCAAAGCCAAGUAAGGUAAUAGCAAGUGUAGCUUUCCCACAAGAGUUUUGGUUGAAACAUUGUUGAUAAUCCACCCACUGCAGGUGGAUUUGAAUUUGUAAUAAGAUGUGAUAAUUCUGUACUGAUAUAGAAACUAUCGCUUCACAGAAUAACAAGAAAAUAUGUGCCACUGUUUUUGUUUAUCUAAAUAGAAAAAUCUGUUUGUAUUGUGUUAGGCUAUUGAUUUGGUAUUUAAAGUAUUGGGAUAUUUAAAUAUCCAACAUUCAUUCCUUUACACUAUUAAUUCUAUUAUGAUAUAUCUACUGAACCGUAUUUAGUUUGACUUAUUUUUAACCUGCACAAACAUUUACAGGACUUUGUUUAUGCGUUUUAGCAAAGCAACCUGAACUUCAGCAGUACCUCUGAAACAUGUAGUGGGUAAUUGGUAAAUUUAAAUUACCAGUGUGUAUUUUAUAAUGUAUCUUCACUGAUUGUGUUUAAAGUUAAUUCCAUGAGGAUUUUGACUUAUAAGCCUCUGGCAACUGCUGUAUUAUCAUAAUUCAUUUUUUCUCCUUUAUUAGUAUAGUUACUAUUUUAACAUUUUAAGUUCAUUAAAAUGUGAGUUUAAAUUGCCUUUUGGUCUCUGUGGUUGCUAUGCAAAUAAAUAACCAGGUCUUUUCCCCAUCCCCUCCCUCCCACUCUGUAAGUCCAGCUAUGUGGACUCUGUAUCUGUAUCAUCUGUUGUUUUGUUCUACUUUCCUGCUUAACAUGGAGGAUAUUUUCCACGCCUAAGUUGACUGAAAAGUUUCUGAGUAUGACUGGGACACUGGACUGCAGUUCUGUCUGCCUAGUUGAGUUGAUUUGGGAAGUCUCUUUUAAGAACUAGAAAGAGAGCUGACAAAAGUUUUUAUAAAUGUUUUUUUGUUUACUUUGGUUCACACAUCAGGUCCCCAAAUCUACAACUCUCCUUGUGACUCUUGGAUUUUUGGCCUCUAGGAUAUGUAAGUGCUGAUAUUUUUAAGGCAUUGCAAUGGUCACCUUUGUGAGUGGAAGCUUUGCCUUUGCCAUAGCCAUGCUUGGCUUUUAAUGCUCAUUUAAUGAGCAGUUCAAUGCUGACAGAGUCAGAUUUGAUGUGAGCCAUCUGUUUUGCUCUGGUUUAGGGAGUGCAUGUGUGCCCUGUCUGCUUUCUUGCUUGGGAAGGGUGACGUGGCCUUGAGAACUGAAGCACGCCAAGAAAUCUGCCAGGGAGCAGAGCAGGGCAGACAUGCCAUUCAGGUGUCCCGCUGGAGACAGCCACACUUGGGCUGUGUUAGAAUCAUUAUGAAGGCUUAGCUGGGAAGUCUGUGGCUUUUAAUGCCAUUUCAUGGUAGUAAAACUUUUGUUGUCCCACCAGCUAAAAGAGUUGGUGUUUUAAUAGAAUAAGCAUUCGAUUAAUGAAACAACAUGUACUGUACAGAAGAAAUGAUCAUAAAAAGCUGCUUUUUAACUGCCUAAAGUACCUUUUGCAGCUUGGAACCUUUUAUCACCUUGUAAAUCGCCCCUUGAGAUGAAUAGUUGAAGUUAGACAAGGCACACUUCCAUUACCAGCAUAUCCUCCUUCGGAUAUUAUUAUAGAGCUUGGGCUGCAGCUGCUUCAAAGCUGCCCUUCUCACCAACACUUUUUUACAUCUUGGUUUCAUUAUGCCAAGGGCGCAUUCUGUGUUAUUGGAGUGGUUUUGUUUUUAAUAAUCUUCUCGAUGCGAACAUUCAGACCUGAGGGAGGUCCGCUAUUUCUCCUUGUGGUCACAUUCCUUCUCUUACAAGGUGUUGACCGUUUUUUGCCACUUUUGUUCUAUUUUAUAGAUAAUAUUCAAAGGUGCUAGUUAACAAAUACUUAAACUUAGGAGGAGAGGAAGAUGCAUAAUAAAGCCUACCCUAACCUGAAUAUAGGAGAAAAAAUGAAGUUAUGUCAUUUUCAUUAUGGAGGGUUGAAAACUCAUUGCUUUCAGUGGGAGUAUAAGUAGGAAAAUAAAAGACAUGACCCUAACAACAAACAGAUGGCAUUCCCUUUUCUGUGAUUUUGUACACUUUUGAAGUUGUAGAAGAACCGCAUAAGCAGUCAUGCUUUCAAUUAUUUUCCCCACUAACAGAGGCAGACACAAAAUUUAUUUGUUCUUUCUGACUGAUUACUCUUCCAUUCCAGUCAGCGUGUCUGAGCUCUAAAUUCU
Long non-coding RNA from Columba livia (rock pigeon), 11369 nucleotides. RefSeq lists it as uncharacterized. NCBI's taxonomy places the organism in Eukaryota, Metazoa, Chordata, Aves, Columbiformes, Columbidae. The transcript is spliced from 4 exons. The record is from RefSeq and is a predicted model, not a curated record.